RNAcentral lists this non-coding RNA (178 nucleotides) under Acidobacteriota bacterium. Lineage: Bacteria; Pseudomonadati; Acidobacteriota. The record is from RNAcentral.
AAAUUGUACCCGUGCUAUACUGCCCGCCACAACCGACACCCGUCCGGGUGAACAGGGGAAGUGGGUGAAAAACCCACGCGGUCCCGCCACUGUAAGUCUCGCCGAAAUGCCGGAGCGCGUCAGCGCGAAGGCACGGAGGCGGACAAGUCAGGAUACCUGCUCCCGGCGCUUGUCUUCU